GGAGACUUUAGAGUCCGCCCCUCCUAGUAGAGCUUCUGAGGACUUGCUAAGAGCAGAGGAAGAGCUGUGAAUAGUGGCUGAACUCCUUAUUUUAUUUACUAUCAAAGGAACUUGGCCAGAACGCAUAUCGCAUAUUUACCGUGGAAAGGGACCGAGGCCGUGUGAGACGUGUGUCCCAGUCUUCUCUCCUGAUCCCCGGGACUCCGUGACACUCUGCAACUUGGGGCACCGACCUCAGGGUCCUAAGAACUUUUGGGUGGAUCUUGUUACCACCCCUCUGGCCUUCGUGCUCCUGCCGGUCCACGUGUCUGAGAGGCCCCAUGCGUUAGACAGAUGUAUCAAUAAUCCAGGUACAUCUUCCAGAGCAGUUGGGAAUGUGUGUCCAGUCUCCCGGAGAGGUACAGCAUGUACAUCUGUUUCUGCUCCGUGCAGCCUUCCCUUCUCCAAUGCCUGGGACAGAGGGUAGAGGAAAGGGGCU
Vulpes vulpes (red fox) is the source of this 478-nucleotide long non-coding RNA. Lineage: Eukaryota; Metazoa; Chordata; Mammalia; Carnivora; Canidae. The record is from Ensembl.